RNAcentral lists this ribosomal RNA (303 nucleotides) under uncultured bacterium. RNAcentral describes it as "partial 16S ribosomal RNA". It matches the Rfam family "Bacterial small subunit ribosomal RNA", at positions 507 to 807 of the family's 1533-position model. The record is from RNAcentral.
AGCAGUCGCCGCGGGAAUACGAAGGGUGCAAGCGUUAAUCGGAAUUACUGGGCGUAAAGCGCACGUAGGCGGCUUGGUAAGUUAGAGGUGAAAGCCCGGAGCUCAACUCCGGAAUUGCCUUUAAGACUGCCGAGCUAGUAGGUGAGAGAGGUAAGUGGAAUUCCGAGUGUAGAGGUGAAAUUCGUAGAUAUUCGGAAGAACACCAGUGGCGAAGGCGGCUUACUGGCUCAUUCUAGACGCUGAGGUGCGAAAGCGUGGGGAGCAAACAGGAUUAGAUACCCCCGUAGUCCCUGUCUCUUAUAC